This 333-nucleotide ribosomal RNA is filed under the name Triticum aestivum (bread wheat). RNAcentral's name for it is "partial small subunit ribosomal RNA". The record is from RNAcentral. Lineage: Eukaryota; Viridiplantae; Streptophyta; Magnoliopsida; Poales; Poaceae.
AUGGUGGACUGUGCGGCACGUGGCCUCCUUCAGCGGGCAAAUAUCCCGUGCCACCGCCGAAAAUACCAUGCCCCGCCGAAGGUAUAUUCGGUAUUUCCUGUGGUGGGUCUGUGUGUGUCGUCUGUUGGUUGGCUCUGGAUGGAUGAGGUCACGCAAGGCGCCGAUUGGGUGAGAACCCUAGCAUCCACUCCCCGUCGCCGUUCCUCUCAUGCCGCCUACCUCACCGCUGCUGCUCUCCUCGCCGAGCUCGCUCGCCGCCGCCGCAUCCCAUCCCGGUCGCGCUCCCGCCACCAUUCCUUCUUCCCUCCUACCACUCCCCUCCUCCAGGCCUAG